RNAcentral lists this ribosomal RNA (497 nucleotides) under uncultured bacterium. RNAcentral describes it as "partial 16S ribosomal RNA". It matches the Rfam family "Bacterial small subunit ribosomal RNA", at positions 28 to 507 of the family's 1533-position model. The record is from RNAcentral.
GAUGAACGCUGGCGGCGUGCCUAAUACAUGCAGGUCGAGCGAACAGACGAGGAGCUUGCUCCUCUGACGUUAGCGGCGGACGGGUGAGUAACACGUGGAUAACCUACCUAUAAGACUGGGAUAACUUCGGGAAACCGGAGCUAAUACCGGAUAAUAUAUUGAACCGCAUGGUUCAAUAGUGAAAGACGGUUUUGCUGUCACUUAUAGAUGGAUCCGCGCCGCAUUAGCUAGUUGGUAAGGUAACGGCUUACCAAGGCAACGAUGCGUAGACGACCGGAGAGGGGGAUCGGCCACACUGGAACUGAGACACGGUCCAGAGUCCUACGGGAGGCAGCAGUAGGGAAUCGUCCGCAAUGGGCGAAAGCCUGACGGAGCAGCGCCGCGUGAGAGAUGAAGGUCUUCGGAUCGUAAAACUCUGUUAUUAGGGAUGAACAAAUGUGUAAGGAACUAUGCACGUCUUGACGGUACCUAAUCAGAAAGCCACGGCUAACUACGUG